Long non-coding RNA from Cornus florida, 789 nucleotides. RefSeq lists it as uncharacterized. NCBI's taxonomy places the organism in Eukaryota, Viridiplantae, Streptophyta, Magnoliopsida, Cornales, Cornaceae. The transcript has 2 exons. The record is from RefSeq and is a predicted model, not a curated record.
AUAUACAUUUAUAUACAAAAGUAUUCAACUUUUUCUAACUUCUGCCCAUGUGAUUCAAAGUCUUUUUUGCAUCAACCAAUAAAUUUAUAUACAAAAGUAUUCAACUUUUUUAAAUCUGCCACCAGUACCCAUGCGCAUAUGUGAUCCACACAGCCCUUUUCUCAUCAGCUAACAGCCAUCCUAGACUUCCUACUCUAAAACUUGGAGUAUUAAACUUUUUCAAACCUGCUGCCAGCCUGCCACCAGUACCCAUGUGAUCCGCACACCCUUUUCUCAUCAGCCGAUAGCCAUCGUAGUCUAGAACUUACGCUGUCUGACUAUCCACGUGACAUGCACUGAUACACAACAAAAUUGAAACCCACUCCUCACUCUUCAAUUCUCAUUUAUAGAUCCCAUAUUCAGGAUUUAUCUUACUUUCUCAGUUUCUCUACUCACACAACUGGUUGGGUUGCUUUGCCCCACAACAACGCCGAUCAUCUUUUUUGUUGAAGGAUUUUUACUAGAAGACUUUUUGGUACUUCUGAAUGAAGGGAAAUUAUUAUUUUUGCACGGUUAAUCAGUUGCGAUGUAGAGGGGAAUGCCAAUACUUGUAAUGUUACUUUUCUAAUAUGUAAGGAAAUGCUAGGGGUAUGCUCUGGGCUAUAAUUGUGCUGAAUUGUUUCUUGGUAUGAUUCUAUUUUAUGUAGUAAUUAGUUUUGCUUAAUAUUUUUAUUUAAGAUAUUUACAUCAAUUAGAUUUGAUGUUAUUCAUUGUUUUGCAAAUGGAAAUAUGAAACUUUUAGUUGUACUA